Molecule: ribosomal RNA, 497 nt
Filed under: uncultured bacterium
Lineage: Bacteria
Description: partial 16S ribosomal RNA
Rfam family: Bacterial small subunit ribosomal RNA
Source: RNAcentral
GAUGAACGCUGGCGGCGUGCCUAAUACAUGCAAGUCGAGCGAACGGACGAGAAGCUUGCUUUUCUGAUGUUAGCGGCGGACGGGUGAGUAACACGUGGAUAACCUACCUAUAAGACUGGGAUAACUUCGGGAAACCGGAGCUAAUACCGGAUAAUAUUUUGAACCGCAUGGUUCAAAAGUGAAAGACGGUCUUGCUGUCACUUAUAGAUGGAUCCGCGCUGCAUUAGCUAGUUGGUAAGGUACCGGCUUACCAAGGCAACGAUGCAUAGCCGACCUGAGAGGGGGAUCGGCAACACUGGAACUGAGACGCGGUCCAGACUCCUACGGGAGGCAGCAGUCGGGAAUCUUCCGCAAUGGGCGAAAGCCUGACGGAGCAACGCCGCGUGAGGGAUGAAGGUCUUCGGAUCGUAAAACUCUGUUAUUAGGGAAGAACAUAUGUGUAAGUAACUGUGCACAGCUUGACGGUACCGAAUCAGAAAGCCACGGCUAACUACGUG